This 500-nucleotide ribosomal RNA is filed under the name uncultured bacterium. Its description in RNAcentral is "partial 16S ribosomal RNA". It matches the Rfam family "Bacterial small subunit ribosomal RNA", at positions 30 to 523 of the family's 1533-position model. The record is from RNAcentral.
AUUGAACGCUGGCGAAAUGCUUUACACAUGCAAGUCGAACGGCAGCACGGACUUCGGUCUGGUGGCGAGUGGCGAACGGGCGAGUAAUGUAUCGGAACGUGCCCAGUCGUGGGGGAUAACGUAGUGAAAAUUACGCUAAUGCCGCAUACGAUCCAUGGAUGAAAGUGGGGGAUCGUAAGACCGCGCGCGAGUGGCGGCGCCGAUAUCAGAUUAGGUAGUUGGUGGGGUAAAGGCCCACCAAGCCAACGAUCUGUAGCUGGUCUGAGAGGACGACCAGCCACACUGGAACUGAGACACGGUCCAGACUCCUACGGGAGGCGGCAGUGGGAAAUUUUGGACAAUGGGCGAAAGCCUGAUCCAGCCAUUCCGCGUGCAGGAUGAAGGCCCUCGGGUUGUAAACUGCUUUUGUACAGAACGAAAAGGUUUCUACUAAUACUAGGAGCUCAUGACGGUACUGUAAGAAUAAGCACCGGCUAACUACGUGCCAGCCGCCGCAGUAA